Molecule: long non-coding RNA, 7374 nt
Filed under: Gossypium barbadense (sea-island cotton)
Lineage: Eukaryota; Viridiplantae; Streptophyta; Magnoliopsida; Malvales; Malvaceae
Description: long non-coding RNA (GBAR_LNC014786)
Source: RNAcentral
UUUAUUAAUAAAUAGAUGAAAACCCAAGCCUACUUCAUUGGGUCCAACACCGGCUACAACUAAAAUAUGAAAUAAAGAAUAAAAACAAAAAACAAAAAAAACAAAAGUCCACCCAAAUCCGAACUGUUGUGCUCAAGAAGCUUCUAGGCCACCCAUCCCAACUUUAGUCGGUUAUAGUUCUUGCCUUUUCUGAUCUCUCAUCUUCUCCAUCGUCUCCAUCCGAUUUGAAACCAAUUCUCUAAAAGCAGCUCAGUUCAGCGAUCUUAUCCAUCUCCGGUCAUUUUCCAGUGAAACCGCGACAUAUUCGAGCACUCCUCUUCUCAGGUAAAUAUGUUCCCCUCUCUUUAAUCCUUCUGUAGCUACUGCAUGUGCCACCAUGUUUGCCAUUCUCGGGGUGUGUUUAAACCAGCAUAUCUGAAAACCCUUUUCAACUGUUAUAUACCCUUUAUGGAUUCACAUAUUUCUGAUUUGUCCACCCCAUUACUUUGACUCUUAUUGAUUACUGAAAAUGAAUCACCUUCAACCUCCACCGUUGAUAGAUAUAUUUCCAAACCCAUUUGAACCACCUGAGCCCAUGCGAGAGCUUCCGCCGCAAACGCGGAUGGUACGUUCCUGUUUAGCACCGUUUUAGAUCCUAGAACCCCUCCAUUUGAAUCCCUUAUCAUAAUCCUUGAACAAGAUGUGUUUUCUUGUUUGUUAAAGGCAACAUCGAAAUUAAUUUUGAGAUUUGACACCUCUAGUAAUCUCCAUCGCUCAAUCUCCUGUCCUCUGCUAGGUAACUUUUCCCUAUCCUAUCCAGUUCUCGUAUAUAGCUCGUAAUGAAAUAUGCUAUUAUUCAUCAUUGUGUUCGUUUUCCUUCAUGCAGCAACUUAUUUCUUUCUGUCCAAAUUACCAACAACGUACAGCAAAAGAGGCGACAUUGAUUAGAUGAAUUGUUUUAAAAAAUCUAGGUUAGCUACUCUAUGCACUUUGAAUUUGUUACCAAUGGUGGCCAAGCAAAAUCCAAUUUCUGCCGAAUUUCCUUUGUUACAGCGCAAUCACGAAAUACAUACUUUGUAUUCUCCACUUCACCUGGCACAUUAUGGUUCCAAGUAAUCUCUUAUAAUGUAGGCUAUUCAGAGUAGGCAGAAAAUUCAUGGAAAUUCUCCAGAUUGUAAUUUUUAGUUUAGGGACGAGAUCUAAAUUCCAAUUUUUUUUAUCACACCCGAUUUUCUUUAAGCCCAAAAAUUAGGAAUAAUUGGGGGUUAAAUUGAAAGAAGCUGUAAUUUGGCAGCCUUUACUAAAACAAUAGUGACUGAUUUAGACAUGGUUGAGGUCCAAUUCUAGUUCGGUUGGAUUAAAGCCAACUAAUUCCUUAGUGGGAGACGAAAUAAUUAUUAAUGGAGGGUUUUUAUACGAUUGAAGACCAUGCGUGAAUGGCUAAAAAUAGCUAAAAAAUGAUUUCCUAGGGUUAACUCUUCUCAAAUUUGCUUAUUUUUUUUUCUUCUUCAUCUUCUUCUUGGGUUUUUCCCAAAGAAGAGGUAGUUAUAGGAAGUUCUGCAUGGAGCGGUGAUCAUAAGGUUUGGGUUGAAAGUUAGAGAAUCUAGUAAGCUAGUAAGGUUCAUAGUCCUUUGGUAUACAUAGGAUUUAGAAAAUGAAGUUAAGGAUUUUCAGAAAACUUUUGAGGGGUUUUGUAUGUUUCUGAAAAACUGAGUUUUAAGUUAAAAAUACUAAGUUUAACUCAUGAGUUUGGCCAUAAUGCUUAGUUUCCAAGAGAAUGGAAGAUCUAGCAUUCAAAAAAGCUAAGCAUAGGAAGCAAAGAAACAUCAGGUGAGUUUCUAUACUCCAUUUCUGGGAUGUUGUAUAACUAGCCUUAACUGUUGUUGAGUUCUGUGACAAUGUAUUAUCACUAUUGUUUGAGAAUGCUUUGUAUGCAUAAAGUUAGGUAGGUAUAUAAGUAUGCAUAAAUAAGUUGGCAUACGUGAAAUGGUAUGAUUCCAUGUUUUAAAAGGAUAGCAUACUCCAUGAUAGUAUGUAAAUGAAAUGCAUGUAUUGCAUGUUUAAAACAGUGGGGUACAGAGGGGAGAUUAUUCACGGGUUAUAUGAAGCUACGAUUUGGCAAAUGGUGUUUCUUUAUUUCGCCAUCUGGUGUUGCCAAGUGCAAACAACGUGCGAAGCUCCAAGCCUUGCGAAGAGGACACUGCCGUGUUCGAGCAUCAAUGUUGGAAAGGAAGAAAUGGAGGCAUGGGCGGAUACUUAAGGAAAUGAAAUUUUUAUUAGAUUUUGCAAUCCGAUAUUGUUGAGAGAAAAUCGUGAUGUGUGAAGCUUGAGGCCUUGUAGAAGGGACACUUCGGUGUUCGAACAUUAAGGUUAAAAAUGAAAUGAUAUUGACUAGCUCGUUAAAGCGGUGCCAUGAAGAAAAUUAUUAGGUUUCACAGAACAUCGCAAUGACGAUUAGCAGGCUUUAUGCGGUGACAUUGCGACGACAGUAAGUUCCUUCUAGGAAACACCUCAAAGAAGUUUAAAGUGUAAGACCAUGGCUUGGCUAUGGUGACCAAUGGAGCCCGCCAAGAAAUUAAACAUGGGGUAUGUUGUGUAAGACCAUAGCUUGACUUUAGAAGCAUAGAGAGUUUGCCGAGAUUAAAUAUGGGGCAGUCCAUCAGGACAUUAAACAUAGGACCUAAUGAGUAAAACUAUAGCUUAGCUACGGCAACAUAUAGAGUUCGUCGGGACAUUAAACGCAAGGUAGUCUGCCAAGAUGAUGAUCUUGUAAAAUCACGUAAACGAGAAAAAAAUACAAGUGUUGAUAAGCGAUAGUUAGCCAACGGAACUGAGGAAUCUGCCAAGAAGGGUUAAAUGUAACAAAAAUGGGCAAAGUUUACCAAAGAUAUGUACAGGAAAGCUGGUAGGGUGUAGGUUGGUAACCCAACUAAAAUCAGUUAUGUAGAUGACGUGUCAAUAAAUAGGGGCUAAUUAGAACCCAUUGUCAAAUAUUUAGGCAAAUGACGUGUCAAUAAUGCCUAAUAUAUAGGCAAAUGAAAGAGGAUUUUAUCUGCGAACCAUAUUUAGAACCCCUAGAAGGGGCCCAAUGGAACUCUGUAUGUUAGGAGUUUGAUUAUAAGUACUAUGGAUAGUUUAUCGGUAAAUAGGGGCUAAUUCGAACCUAUUGUCAGGAAGAGGUACCAAAAAGGUUAAUCCAAGUGAAAGAUAUAUUUGUCAAGACUAUUCUUCUUUGAGGGAAAUUCUAGUGUGACAGUAUCCACUAUGGUGCUAGUUCCAUAAGAAAGCAUUGUAUAAGGAAGAAUAUGAACUCGAAUGGUCAAUAGUUUACUAGAAACGAUAUGCUGAAAUGAUCCAAUGUAGAUAGAUUUGAUGCGCUUUAAAAGUAAGGUGUCCCAAUUAGGGUUGUUUACAAGUAGGUAACCCAAACAACAUUUCAACCCAAGUGUAGGAUAGAAGUAGGAAAGGAUGAAAUACGAUUAAGUUCGUUAGUGUGGCGUGGGCCUUUUCUAGUUGGUCUUAUAAGUAGAAUGUCAGCUUACCCGCUAGUACUAUGGUGUUUUUACUAGUCAUGAUAAAACCAAAGAGGAUAUUCAUGAUAGGAAGUGUGAGGAAAAAGGGGAAUAGAAGGUGAUAUGUGCAAGGAAAAGUGAAAACCUGCAAGGAUGAUAAUUCAUCUGGAUUCCACCAAAUUAGUUGAAUGGUCAUACUAUGACUAGGAAAUGGUUGCUCAACAAUCAAUUCGCCAUCAAAGAAAGAUGAAAGUCAAAUAUGUGUCCGACACUUCAGAUAAAGUAGGAAAGUCUAAACAAAAUAGGGAGUAGUGUGUUUGGGUCUUUUCUAUUUAAAACAUCAGCAUGAUGAGACUUAGUUAUAUAUAUGUGCAAAGAAACUCGCUAAGUCAUUUGCACUUAUAGAAUAUAUGGCUUAUGUUGCAGGAUUCGAGGGAUAAGAAACUCGAAGGGGGAUUAAGCCAGACCUUGUUGGAGCAAGUAACACCGUUAGUUAGGAGUCAUGAACAUAAUGGAGGUACCUUUAGAGGUUUCGCCUCGAGGUCAAGUAUAUUGUAAAUAAAUAGUUUUCUUAGAGUUUGAAAUUGGAGAUAGUUUUUAUUUUAAUUUAAGGCUUCUGUUGUAAAAAAUAUUUAUUGCUACUUAAUAGAGUCUAUUUUUAAAACUAUUAAAUUUAAAAUUUGUUUUUAGUCUAAUUCGGUCCAUUUGUGGCACCCCGUACUCAGAUUCGAUGAUCGGGUCGAGUGAGAAUGUUACAAAUUUAAUGGUAUCAGAACAUGGUUUAGUCGGUUCCUAGAUAUAGGAAUUGAAAAAGUACCCUUUAUGUUCAUUAUGUUCAAUUUGGCUAGGUCAUCGAGUUCUUACUUUUAUUAAGUUAUUAUAUGUUGUAUGUAGAAGUAUGCGCCUAAAUUGACGAAUCGAAACAAAUGUAGAAGCAAAGGAUAAGUAAAGUGAUUGAAAAUACAAGUGAUGAAGAAAAGAAAUUUCAUUAAAGAAAAUAUGCAAAGGAAAUUAAGAAUUUUUAUUUGCUAGGUAUGUUGUCACCUCAACAGUGUCUUUACUUCCUUUUGGCUAAGUCUUUCGAAAAGAGUAGAAAUGAUCACGCUUGAUUUUUGAAAAUGAGAGUUGUUAGAUUCCUUCUGUCCCCUCUGGCAAUCCUCUCAUUGGAACUAGAGGAGUGGGAGUGUUGAAUUCAAGGACAAAACAGGCAUGUUUGCAUAUAUAAGUGGAGUUGUGAGAUUUGCAUCAGGAAGACACUUGUGUCAGGUUUGAAUGGGGAUUAAACGAGAAAGAUGAGGAGGAAGAUACACUUGGAUGCCGGACUUGGUAUACUCAGUAUACUCCAUAAGGAUUUAGAAUAACCCAUUUUGCAACCUCACCAUUUCAUCAAGAUGAAGCUUUCAAAGGCUAGUACCAUUUUCUAACCCUUUUUUAUAACCUUUAAAGGUUGAAUUUAGACCUUCAUGUGGAGAGAGAUGUAAACAUGUAACUUUGGUAGAUGAAUUUCUAUGAAUCUAAGGAGCUGUAUUACAACAUUGUUUGCUAGAAUAGGUGAUCCUCUUGAAAUCAACCUAUUUGGCUUCACUUCCAGUUUAAAAGGAGGUCAAUGAUUUUCCUCACCCUGUUAAUAAUUGAAAGGAAUCACCAAGUUGUUAAAGAAGGGUGGCAAACUCUUGACAAGGAAAAGAAAGGGAAGUGAAUGGUACUGUCGUGGUCUCCUAAUGAUGUUACAGUAGGAGUCGUUAUGAGAAGAAUCCAAGAAAGGAAUAGGGAUUUCGUGAAAAAAGACUUCCAUUUCUUGAGGCAAAUUCAUGCCAUGUCCUUGCUUAAUCAUAGGCAAAAGAGAUACAUAUUUUCCUGCGUUAAGCCAUCCUCUCCAAGAUAAGAAAAGGCUCAUCGCAUCCAAGGGAAAGGUACUGUAAGAGAUGAGAGGGUUAGUAGUAAAGAGAGAUGCACAAAAAGGGGUUCUGAGGUAGUCAUUUGCAUUGCCUAGUCGAUACUCCUCUCGAACUAGCCCGAAAGAAAAAUUAAGGUAGGGUAACUUGAUUCCUUGAAUGGUUAGGUGAUUUACCAUAUCGUGUUUGGUGAAAAUGCUCAUGUAAUUUAAAGGUCCUCACCCUUCUUAUGUUGUUUAUUUAAUUUUACUCAGCGAAUAUGAAGACAGGGAUAGAGAAAGUUCAUUAUCAAAAUUUCGGUGACAAGAAUACUAGAGAACAACACCCAAUAUUGUAAUUAGAUGAGAAAAAGAAAGAUAGGAAGAAGAAAAGUGGGAUAAUAAGUGGGUAGGCCAAGCCAAAUGUCUAUAGACUUAUGAACUUCCCUCUCAAUGUUCUGGUUUAUUUGUAACCAAAAGCGUGUAUUAAAAGUUAUGGAAAAUUUAAUGAAUGGUAAGGAACCGUUCAAGUCCAUCAAUGCAUGCAGGACACCUAUUGGCAUCAGGAGAAGGAAGAAUCUUUUAGUAUUCCCAGGGCGGGGAUAGUUGCCAACUGUUACCCAUUAGGGUGUAGCCUUCAGAAAAGUAGAGAUAGUCUUAGGUUCGUUCAAUGACAGCCCUUUUCGAAUAGAGAGGAUAAGCUUUUGUUACUUUUUGAUUAGAACUUUGAAAGUAGAGUGGUAGCUUUGGUACACGACCAAGGUAGUAGAGAAAGUAUAUCUUGGACAAGCUUAGUUACCCUAUGAUUAGAAGGAAUUAACCCAUUAACUGGUAAGGUUAGCAUACAAAAAGAUUUAGGAAUUUUGGAUUUCCCACUAGAAUUAAAAUCAAAGAGAUGUUAGCCAGGAGAUGUUCACCUUAGAGCGUCCACCAAAUUAAGAUUUGCAAAAAUAAUUUCUGGAUUGGAGUGUAUCUAGUAAUGGAAAGAUUAGAUACCUGACAAUGAGUUGAUAUCCAUAUUUCGUAAAGUGUUGAAGGAUCCACAAAAUAGGCAGAGCAAGUGUAAAGCGAAUGUAUGAAAGGGUAACCAAGUUGAAGGUUUUUAUAGAAAUGAAAAGUGAUUACUUUUGUGAACCAUAUAAGAGUAGAAAUGGGGAAAUAGUUUCUCUGAGUCCGCUUCUGAGGCUGAUCGGGAAAGGAAUUUGCAAGGAUAAAUUUCUUUUAGGGUGGGAGAGUUGUCUAACCCAAUUUUCUUUAAAUCUGGUGAUAAUUGAAAAACUUAUAUAAUUUAAUUACAUAUUUAUUUUGAGUACAAUCCUACUAAUUUAGAUUGUUUAUGGUUUUUUAUCUUGUAGGGACUAAAUUAAGGCAAAAGGAAAUUUAAGGGCAAAAAGUGUGAAUUUAAAGACAAAAUAGGUCAGCAUGCAAAAUAGGGAAGAAGUGGUGCAGUGAAUACAAAGUGUGGAAGACUUGGGGAAAAUUUUCAAAGAAAAGAUUUAUGGACAUAAAAAUUUGUUUAAAUUUGAAUUUGAAUUUUAAGAUUAUUGUUAGGAUUAUUAUUAUAUUCUUCAGAUUUAAUUUCAAUUUAUCUCUUAAACAUUGUCAUCUAAAGUUUGAAUAGGAACCAACUAAGGUCUUUCAUGUACUAUAAAUAGGGGAUGAAGUGACAUAAAUACUCACUCAUCACUUUUGUAAAAAAACUCCUUCCCCUUAAGACUCUUAGCCUUUUGUUUCUUUUCUUUUUCAAUAAAAUUUCGUUUCAUCAAACUUGUGUUUUUAUUCCCAAAAAUAAUGAGUAACUAAAUUAGUCUAGCCAAAGGUUAUCAAGAUUCUUCAAAAAGAGUGCAUUACGCUUAGAACUCGUACUUAACCCUUCUCAACGAGUAUUCAUCAUUUUUUCGCAUUACGAGACUGACGCUGUCGUCCAUGUCUUUUCAAAAGUAAUCUUUUCAUCUUGUGCAAAGGUGGUCUUUUUGCAUGUUUUGGGAAGGUUGCACAAUCGAUUUGCAC